RNAcentral lists this ribosomal RNA (497 nucleotides) under uncultured bacterium. Its description in RNAcentral is "partial 16S ribosomal RNA". It matches the Rfam family "Bacterial small subunit ribosomal RNA", at positions 28 to 507 of the family's 1533-position model. The record is from RNAcentral.
GAUGAACGCUGGCGGCGUGCCUAAUACAUGCAAGUCGAGCGAACAGACGAGGAGCUUGCUCCUCUGACGUUAGCGGCGGACGGGUGAGUAACACGUGGAUAACCUACCUAUAAGACUGGGAUAACUUCGGGAAACCGGAGCUAAUACCGGAUAAUAUAUUGAACCGCAUGGUUCAAUAGUGGAAGACGGUUUUGCUGUCACUUAUAGAUGGAUCCGCGCCGCAUUAGCUAGUUGGUAAGGUAACGGCUUACCAAGGCAACGAUGCGUAGCCGACCUGAGAGGGUGAUCGGCCACACUGGAACUGAGACACGGUCCAGACUCUUACGGGAGGCAGCAGUAGGGAAUCUUCCGCAAUGGGCGAAAGCCUGACGGAGCAACGCCGCGUGAGUGAUGAAGGUCUUCGGAUUGUAAAACUCUGUUAUUAGGGAAGAACAAAUGUGUAAGUAACUAUGCACGUCUUGACGGUACCUAAUCAGAAAGCCACGGCUAACUACGUG